AAUUUUUUGUGCUAUCAGUUAUGCUUUUGUGAGAUCUGUGAUGGGUUAUGAUGGUGUUUUUGCAUUUUAGUGGAUUUAAGGAUUUGGAUUUUUUUUUUUAAUUGUUAUUAGCUUUGGAGGUUUGUUGCUUGUAGCAAUGGGUUGAAUUUGUUUGGAGUUAGUUCUGAAGUUGGUUUUGGAAAGAAUAGUUGCUUGUAUGUGAAGUGAAGGAUGCUAUAUGGUUCUGUGGAUUUUUUUUUUUUGUAUCUAUGUGACUAAAUCUUUGGGGAACUAUAGUUGAUGAUGCUAGUUGGCUUGUGUGUAGCGUUAUGAUUUUGUGAUUGUGUGUCCUUUGCAUUGUUUCUGACCUUAGAUAAAUUUAUGCCCAAAUCCUUUCCAUCAUAUGCUGAUUCUUCCUAAAACCCAAUUGCUGACUGUCGCAUUUCUUUAUGCUCGAGAAGUGAUGGUUUUGGUUGGCAUCUUCCUUUGUUGAUGCUGAUCUUGAGUGGACAUCAAAGGAGACAGAA
Molecule: unclassified non-coding RNA, 506 nt
Filed under: Hevea brasiliensis (rubber tree)
Lineage: Eukaryota; Viridiplantae; Streptophyta; Magnoliopsida; Malpighiales; Euphorbiaceae
Source: RNAcentral